This 342-nucleotide unclassified non-coding RNA is filed under the name soil metagenome. RNAcentral's name for it is "partial contains 5.8S ribosomal RNA, internal transcribed spacer 2, and large subunit ribosomal RNA". The stretch from base 1 to 120 matches the Rfam family "5.8S ribosomal RNA", at positions 35 to 154 of the family's 154-position model. The record is from RNAcentral.
GAUGAAGAACGUAGCGAAAUGCGAUAAGUAAUGUGAAUUGCAGAAUUCAGUGAAUCAUCGAAUCUUUGAACGCACAUUGCGCCCUCUGGUAUUCCGGAGGGCAUGCCUGUUCGAGCGUCAUUUGCUAAACUCAAGCCUACUUGUAGGCCUGGUCUUGGGUGUUGUCCUCUCCGGAGGACAUGCCUCAAAUGCAACGGCGACACUGCCUGGCUUCAAGCGUCUAGGAAACUUCAUCGCUUCUGUCAGAUAAAUGUCUGCCUCUCAACCCCAAUUUUUUUUCUGGGUUGACCUCGGAUCAGGUAGGGAUACCCGCUGAACUUAAGCAUAUCAAUAAGCGGAGGA